Molecule: ribosomal RNA, 820 nt
Filed under: uncultured bacterium
Lineage: Bacteria
Description: bacterial SSU rRNA
Rfam family: Bacterial small subunit ribosomal RNA
Source: RNAcentral
AGUCGAGGGGCAGCAUAUAGAUUGCUUGCAAUUUAUGAUGGCGACCGGCGCACGGGUGAGUAACGCGUAUCCAACCUACCCAUUACUAGGGAAUAACCCAGCGAAAGUUGGCCUAAUGCCCUAUGUAGUCGUUUGAUCGCCUGAGAUUUCGACGAAAGAUUUAUCGGUAUUGGAUGGGGAUGCGUCUGAUUAGCUUGUUGGCGGGGUAAAGGCCCACCAAGGCAACGAUCAGUAGGGGUUCUGAGAGGAAGGUCCCCCACAUUGGAACUGAGACACGGUCCAAACUCCUACGGGAGGCAGCAGUGAGGAAUAUUGGUCAAUGGGCGAGAGCCUGAACCAGCCAAGUAGCGUGCAGGAUGACGGCCCUAUGGGUUGUAAACUGCUUUUAUAUGGGAAUAAAGUGAGGGACGUGUCCCUUAUUGCAUGUACCAUACGAAUAAGGACCGGCUAAUUCCGUGCCAGCAGCCGCGGUAAUACGGAAGGUCCAGGCGUUAUCCGGAUUUAUUGGGUUUAAAGGGAGCGUAGGCUGUUUGUUAAGCGUGUUGUGAAAUGUAGGAGCUCAACUUUUAGAUUGCAGCGCGAACUGGCAGACUUGAGUGCGCACAACGUAGGCGGAAUUCAUGGUGUAGCGGUGAAAUGCUUAGAUAUCAUGACGAACUCCGAUUGCGAAGGCAGCUUACGGGAGCGCAACUGACGCUAAAGCUCGAAGGUGCGGGUAUCGAACAGGAUUAGAUACCCUGGUAGUCCGCACAGUAAACGAUGGAUGCCCGCUGUUAGCACCUAGUGUUAGCGGCUAAGCGAACGCAUUAAGCAUCCCACC